CCGGCCUCGGCCCCACCAUGGACUCCAGAACAGUCUGGUUCGUUGCCAUUUGUCUCCUGGAGGUGACCACAAACACUAGGGUCACACAAACCCCCAGAUACCUGCUGGUCCGGCCUGGGGAGAAGGUGACGCUGAGCUGUGAACAGGACCUGAAACACGAUUACAUGUAUUGGUACCGGCAGGACCCGGGCCCGGGGCUGCGGCUGAUCUACCACUCCCAAGACGUUGCACUGCUCGCACCCGGGGACGUGGCCAAGGGCUACAAUGUCUCCCGGUCCGAGACGCGGUCCUUUCCCCUGAUCGUGGAGUCCGCCAGCCCCGACCAGACCUCGGUGUAUCUGUGCGCCAGCAAUAACACACAGUCCCACAAAGCUGCAGGCUUCCUCAUCCAAAACCGCGCCCGCCCCCACCGACCACAGACCCCCGCACCCAUGCCCCUGGGCUCCCUCAGCGCACAGCCCCACGGGGAGGAACCCCCGAGCAGGAGGGGGAGCAGCGGAAGAAUGUAGCUGUUAUUGUUGGGACUGAGUUUUCAUUUCUCAGAAGUGUCCAACCCUCGACUGCAGUGCUACUAAAGCU
Tachyglossus aculeatus (Australian echidna) is the source of this 579-nucleotide non-coding RNA. The record is from the annotation of a RefSeq genome assembly. NCBI's taxonomy places the organism in Eukaryota, Metazoa, Chordata, Mammalia, Monotremata, Tachyglossidae.